GACGAACGCUGGCGGCGUGCUUAACACAUGCAAGUCGAACGGAAAGGCCCUGCUUUUGUGGGGUGCUCGAGUGGCGAACGGGUGAGUAACACGUGAGUAACCUGCCCUUGACUUUGGGAUAACUUCAGGAAACUGGGGCUAAUACCGGAUAGGAGCUCCUGCUGCAUGGUGGGGGUUGGAAAGUUUCGGCGGUUGGGGAUGGACUCGCGGCUUAUCAGCUUGUUGGUGGGGUAGUGGCUUACCAAGGCUUUGACGGGUAGCCGGCCUGAGAGGGUGACCGGCGACAUUGGGACUGAGAGACGGACCAGAGUCCUACGGGAGGCAGCAGUGGGGAAUAUUGCACAGUGGGCGGAAGCCUGAUGAAGCAACGCCGCGUGCGGGAUGACGGCCUUCGGGUUGUAAACCGCUUUCGCCUGUGACGAAGCGUGAGUGACGGUAAUGGGUGAAGAAGCACCGGCUAACUACGUG
Molecule: ribosomal RNA, 468 nt
Filed under: uncultured bacterium
Lineage: Bacteria
Description: partial 16S ribosomal RNA
Rfam family: Bacterial small subunit ribosomal RNA
Source: RNAcentral